CUAAAAAAUAUAAUCACCCAAUGGACCAAAAUAAGGCUUCCAAUCAUGCUACCCACGUCGAUAUCCCAUGAUUACAUACAACCAUACACUUCUCUAUCCUCACCCCUACCUCUACCCUUACCCCAACCCCAACCCCACCCCACUCCACCCAACCUCCAUUUUCAUCUUCAUCUCCCUUUCAUUAGCAUACAUCAACCCCUCUCACAUCAUGUCUCCUUCAAUUCCCACCAUUAACAUGUCCGACAUCCAGUCUCCAACAUCUUCUUUCAAAGUUCAGUUGGUUUCAAGAUCUGUAUCCGAGAGGCUUCUUGUGAAAUUUGCAGAUGUAUCGGAGUUCGGAUUUGAUUACUCCCAAAGCGGCCUCUGGUCUCCUCCACUUCACCGGACUGUGUUCCUUAGUUCACCUGGGGAAAUCUUGACACCAGAUGAAAUGCUGCAGAAGUUAGAAUCUAUGGCAAGACACCGGAGAAGAUACACAUAUUGUCUCAACGUAUGAUAUAUAUACACAUGCUGGGCACUUUUGUGCUCUCCUAAAAGAUGAACUGCGUUGCACUUGCAUUAUUUUAACCAAAUAGUUCUUAUGUGGAUUAUUAUUUUAUGUUUUAAUUUUUUUUUUCCGGGCAAAAAAAAGAAGGUUUUGCUACGAUUGUAAAUGUUAGAUUAAACAUUAUAUGUAAUUUUUCAUUAUAUUUCACAUGUUUGCAUGUGAUUGUGCUA
Molecule: long non-coding RNA, 717 nt
Organism: Lactuca sativa (garden lettuce)
Lineage: Eukaryota; Viridiplantae; Streptophyta; Magnoliopsida; Asterales; Asteraceae
Source: RefSeq, a predicted model, not a curated record